RNAcentral lists this ribosomal RNA (468 nucleotides) under uncultured bacterium. RNAcentral's name for it is "partial 16S ribosomal RNA". It matches the Rfam family "Bacterial small subunit ribosomal RNA", at positions 28 to 507 of the family's 1533-position model. The record is from RNAcentral.
GUCGAACGCUGGCGGCGUGCUUAACACAUGCAAGUCGAACGGAAAGGCCCUGCUUUUGUGGGGUGCUCGAGUGGCGAACGGGUGAGUAACACGUGAGUAACCUGCCCUUGACUUUGGGAUAACUUCAGGAAACUGGGGCUAAUACCGGAUAGGAGCUCCUGCUGCAUGGUGGGGGUUGGAAAGUUUCGGCGGUUGGGGAUGGACUCGCGGCUUAUCAGCUUGUUGGUGGGGUAGUGGCUUACCAAGGCUUUGACGGGUAGCCGGCCUGAGAGGGUGACCGGCAACAUUGGGACUGAGAUACGGCCCAGACUCCUACGGGAGGCAGCAGUGGGGAAUAUUGCACAAUGGGCGGAAGCCUGAUGCAGCAACGCCGCGUGCGGGAUGACGGCCUUCGGGUUGUAAACCGCUUUCGCCUGUGACGAAGCGUGAGUGACGGUAAUGGGUAAAGAAGCACCGGCUAACUACGUG